This 404-nucleotide ribosomal RNA is filed under the name uncultured bacterium. Its description in RNAcentral is "bacterial SSU rRNA". It matches the Rfam family "Bacterial small subunit ribosomal RNA", at positions 128 to 518 of the family's 1533-position model. The record is from RNAcentral.
GCCCCCCGGCCCGGGAUAGCCCAGGGAAACCUGGAUUAAUACCGGAUGAGACGGGACCUGCGAUGGCGGGAUCCGGGAAAGGCGCUACGGCGCCGCCGGGGAUGAGUCUGCGUCCCAUUAGCUAGACGGCGGGGUAACGGCCCACCCGUGGCGACGAUGGGUAGCCGGCCUGAGAGGGUGGACGGCCACAUUGGAACUGAGACACGGUCCAGACUCCUACGGGAGGCAGCAGCUAAGAAUCUUCCGCAAUGGGCGAAAGCCUGACGGAGCGACGCCCGCGUGAACGAAGAAGGCCGUGAGGUUGUAAAGUUCUUUUCGGGAGGGGGAACAACCGUGGCAGGGAAUGGCCGCGGGAUGACGUGAAUCCCGGAAUAAGCCCCGGCUAACUACGUGCCAGCAGCUGC